UUACGGGAGGCAGCAGUAAGGAAUAUUGCGCAAUGGACGAAAGUCUGACGCAGCGACGCCGCGUGGGGGAUGAAGGUCUUCGGAUUGUAAACCCCUUUCGGGAGGGAAGAUGGAGUGGGUAACCACUUGGACGGUACCUCCAGAAGCAGCCACGGCUAACUUCGUGCCAGCAGCCGCGGUAAUACGAAGGUGGCAAGCGUUGUUCGGAUUCACUGGGCGUACAGGGAGCGUAGGCGGUUGGGUAAGCCCUCCGUGAAAUCUCCGGGCCUAACCCGGAAAGUGCAGAGGGGACUGCUCAGCUAGAGGAUGGGAGAGGAGCGCGGAAUUCCCGGUGUAGCGGUGAAAUGCGUAGAGAUCGGGAGGAAGGCCGGUGGCGAAGGCGGCGCUCUGGAACAUUUCUGACGCUGAGGCUCGAAAGCGUGGGGAGCAAACAGGAUUAGAUACCCGGGUAGUCC
Molecule: ribosomal RNA, 455 nt
Filed under: uncultured bacterium
Lineage: Bacteria
Description: bacterial SSU rRNA
Rfam family: Bacterial small subunit ribosomal RNA
Source: RNAcentral